GCGGCCAUGGCGUGUCACGCAAGCCUGAUGCAGCCAUGCCGCGUGUAUGAAGAAGGCCUUCGGGUUGUAAAGUACUUUCAUCGGGGAGGAAGGUGUUGUGGUUAACUGUGCACGUCUUGACGGUACCUAAUCAAAAAGCCACGGCUAACUACGUGCCAGCAGCCGCGGUAAUACGUAGGUGGCAAGCGUUAUCCGGAAUUAUUGGGCGUAAAGCGCGCGUAGGCGGUUUUUUAAGUCUGAUGUGAAAGCCCCCGGCUCAACCGGGGAGGGUCAUUGGAAACUGGAAAACUUGAGUGCAGAAGAGGAAAGUGGAAUUCCAUGUGUAGCGGUGAAAUGCGCAGAGAUAUGGAGGAACACCAGUGGCGAAGGCGACUUUCUGGUCUGUAACUGACGCUGAUGUGCGAAAGCGUGGGGAUCAAACAGGAUUAGAUACCCUGGUAGUUCCCACACACAAA
This 455-nucleotide ribosomal RNA is filed under the name Staphylococcus aureus. RNAcentral's name for it is "bacterial SSU rRNA". It matches the Rfam family "Bacterial small subunit ribosomal RNA", at positions 357 to 805 of the family's 1533-position model. The record is from RNAcentral. Lineage: Bacteria; Bacillati; Bacillota; Bacilli; Caryophanales; Staphylococcaceae.